Podarcis lilfordi (Lilford's wall lizard) is the source of this 81-nucleotide non-coding RNA. The record is from the annotation of a GenBank genome assembly. Lineage: Eukaryota; Metazoa; Chordata; Lepidosauria; Squamata; Lacertidae.
GCCUUUCACAGAAUAGCUCAGUUGGUUAGAGCGUGGUGCUGAUAAUGCCAAAGUUGUAGGUUCAAAACCCCGUAUGGGACA